GUCAGUGGUGCCAGAGGGGGGAGUCGAUCCUAGGGUUACAAACUGGGGGGCCAGCGCGCACACCACUAAGCUACGCAGGUACUGCCGAAAGAAUAAUGCUCAACGUGCUAUAUGAAGAUUCCAAAGAGGCAAGUUUUGAAAAUCAAUAAUUCUUUGAAAGGAUUCACUAAUAGCUUUUGUGAGGCGUUGCUAUCACUGCUCUUGUUCCUGUCACUCUUUGCUCCUGUCACUUUGUCAGUCAGUCGCUUACUUCCUCUGUCUGUCAGUGCAGUAGGCUUAGCACUAGGCUACCCAGCCUAGUGCUAGCGUGGCUUACCACCAGGCUGUAUAGCCUAGCGGUUAGCGCGCCGGACUCCGACGCAGAAGGCGAGAGUUCGACUCCACCUUGUGGACUGCAAACCUAAACGCAUACUUAUGUGUCUGCUUUGUAAUGCCCGCGGGGGCCCCGCUUCCCAUUCAUUCUCUAUGGUAGUGCUAAACCACUACGGAUGAAAUAUAUUUUUGGCCACUAUGACCCUUGUGGCGCUGUUGUGGAUGCGGUACUUCUAAAAAUUUCCGCUUUGAAACUUUUGCCGAGACAGGACAGUUAACCCACUGCUCGCUACAGCAAUCAGUGCCCCGUAUUCAUUUAUUAAAGUGUGUGUGUAGGUGUGCUUGACGCAGGGGAGCGGAUCAUAGAGGUCAAGGGUUUUCCUGUGGAUGGGAUGGAGCGUGAGCAAGUGAUCCAAGUUGUGCUGGGUCACAGCGCAGCAUCAUGUUUGAAGUCACUGGCAUGAGAGAAAGGGCGAUCCACAAUGAGAGCAGAGUAAGUCUUGGUCCAAAAUUGCCUUAUUGUUUGCAUCAAAAGUCUGGAGAGUGUACAAAGAUGUGGUUUUGUUUGCUUGUUGGUUGUAUGUGCGGGCCAUACGAGACAGACAGCGUGCGGCGGCAGGCAAAGAAAGCGCCAAGCAACACGGCAUGUGCCGGCCUCAUUCCCUCCAGCAGCCCGCUCAGAUGUGGUGCUUUUAAAGAUGUCCAAGCAAUCUUAGACUGCAUGUAAGAGGUGAAGCAGUGGUUUUGGACGAAUAUUUUGCAAUUGUAGAGCAAUGGUCAUGAGUAUGAGUUUAUUGUAAGUGUUGCAGGUCUGUGAUGAUGGAGCCACUUGAAAGACAGUGUCACUAACUGAGGUGAAGAGCAGCAUAAAGACCAGGGCUGACUGACUGAGGUGAGGAUGUCCUGAGCAGCUCACCUCAGUAUGACUGACACUGCUCAGCAGAGCUUCACUUCCAUUGAGGUCCUUUGCCAAAGUUUUGCAGCCUCCUCCAGAGUAAGGUGUACAUUUCCGAGUGGCACACCGACAGCUGCUGAAAGUCGGCCAUUUCUAAUUCAAUGUUAAGGAGUAAAAGUGUGCUUGUAUUCAUGAAUUCAUAACUGUGCUGUGGCUGUCAGAAGCAUCGUCUAUGAGUGAAGGCUGAUCUUAGAUCACAUGAUCCAUGUUUCCAUGAAAGCAACGCUGAUGUUUGUGCGUGGAAAGCUUCUAAAAGAUUUUGUAUGCAGUUAAGCAUAAAU
Molecule: long non-coding RNA, 1548 nt
Organism: Archocentrus centrarchus (flier cichlid)
Lineage: Eukaryota; Metazoa; Chordata; Actinopteri; Cichliformes; Cichlidae
Exons: 3
Source: RefSeq, a predicted model, not a curated record